This is a long non-coding RNA of Brassica rapa (field mustard), 699 nucleotides long. RefSeq lists it as uncharacterized. Lineage: Eukaryota; Viridiplantae; Streptophyta; Magnoliopsida; Brassicales; Brassicaceae. The record is from RefSeq and is a predicted model, not a curated record.
AAUCACUAUACAAAUCCCUCUUGCCCUGAUUUCUCUCCUACGUAACAAUAUCUCCGUAAUGGCAUCUUUGGUGAAGCGUCGGAGCCGUCACUUUGUUCAAGCUCUCUGUCUCCACCUCUAGCUUUUACUCGCCUGAGACUGCUCCGCCGGAUUAGCCUCUCCAGCUCUUCUUCCUCGACCAUUGUGGCGGAUGUGGAUAUAGAGGUCAGGAGAAGGUGGUUGUGGAUGCCGUGAUGGUGGAUGCUAUGGUGAUGGAUGUGGAUACGGAGGUGGAAGAUGUGAGGAGGAGGUGGUGGUGGUGGAUGUUGUGGCUGUGGAUGAUGUGGUGGUGGAUGUGGAUACGGAGGUGGAAGACGUGAGGAAAGGGAGGAGGUGGUGGAUUAUGUGGUGGUGUAUGUGGACACGGAGGUGGAAGACGUGAGGAGGAGGAAGUGGUGGCGGAUGUGGAUACAGAGGUGGAAGAUGUGAGGAGAAUAAAGUGGUGGUAGAUGCCAUGUUCGUGGAUGUUGUGAUGGUGGAUGUGGAUACGGAGGUGGAAGACGUGAGUAGAAGAGUGGUGGAUGCUGUGGAUAGAGGAUGUGUGGAUGUGAUCGGCAGUGUGUGGAUGUGGUGGCUGUUGACAUGAGUGUGGGAGGGGGGAGAGGGGUCAAGUGCGCAAUGGUCAGAUAAAAGGUGGUAAGAUGAGAUAUGAAUAACAAU